CCUACGGGGGGCAGCAGUGGGGAAUAUUGGACAAUGGGGGCAACCCUGAUCCAGCCAUGCCGCGUGUGUGAAGAAGGCCCUCGGGUUGUAAAGCACUUUCAGUGAGGAAGAACGCCUGGUGGUUAAUACCCAUCAGGAAAGACAUCACUCACAGAAGAAGCACCGGCUAACUCCGUGCCAGCAGCCGCGGUAAUACGGAGGGUGCGAGCGUUAAUCGGAAUUACUGGGCGUAAAGCGCGCGUAGGUGGCUUGAUAAGCCGGUUGUGAAAGCCCCGGGCUCAACCUGGGAACGGCAUCCAGAACUGUCAAGCUAGAGUGCAGGAGAGGAAGGUAGAAUUCCCGGUGUAGCGGUGAAAUGCGUAGAGAUCGGGAGGAAUACCAGUGGCGAAGGCGGCCUUCUGGACUGACACUGACACUGAGGUGCGAAAGCGUGGGUAGCAAACAGGAUUAGAUACCCUAGUAGUC
This 465-nucleotide ribosomal RNA is filed under the name Vreelandella stevensii. RNAcentral describes it as "partial 16S ribosomal RNA". It matches the Rfam family "Bacterial small subunit ribosomal RNA", at positions 338 to 795 of the family's 1533-position model. The record is from RNAcentral. Lineage: Bacteria; Pseudomonadati; Pseudomonadota; Gammaproteobacteria; Oceanospirillales; Halomonadaceae.